Molecule: ribosomal RNA, 497 nt
Filed under: uncultured bacterium
Lineage: Bacteria
Description: partial 16S ribosomal RNA
Rfam family: Bacterial small subunit ribosomal RNA
Source: RNAcentral
GACGAACGCUGGCGGCGUGCCUAAUACAUGCAAGUUGAGCGCUGAAGGUUGGUACUUGUACCAACUGGAUGAGCAGCGAACGGGUGAGUAACGCGUGGGGAAUCUGCCUUUGAGCGGGGGACAACAUUUGGAAACGAAUGCUAAUACCGCAUAAAAACUUUAAACACAAGUUUUAAGUUUGAAAGAUGCAAUUGCAUCACUCAAAGAUGAUCCCGCGUUGUAUUAGCUAGUUGGUGAGGUAAAGGCUCACCAAGGCGAUGAUACAUAGCCGACCUGAGAGGGUGAUCGGCCACAUUGGGACGGAGACACGGCCCAAACUCCUACGGGAGGCAGCAGUAGGGAAUCUUCGGCAAUGGACGAAAGUCUGACCGAGCAACGCCGCGUGAGUGAAGAAGGUUUUCGGAUCGUAAAACUCUGUUGGUAGAGAAGGACGUUGGUGAGAGUGGAAAGCUCAUCAAGUGACGGUAACUACCCAGAAAGGGACGGCUAACUACGUG